AACGAACGCUGGCGGCAUGCCUAACACAUGCAAGUCGAACGAGACCUUCGGGUCUAGUGGCGCACGGGUGCGUAACGCGUGGGAACCUGCCCUUAGGUUCGGAAUAACUCCCCGAAAGGGGUGCUAAUACCGGAUAAUGUCUUCGGACCAAAGAUUUAUCGCCUUUGGAUGGGCCCGCGUUGGAUUAGCUAGUUGGUAGGGUAAAAGCCUACCAAGGCGACGAUCCAUAGCUGGUCUGAGAGGAUGAUCAGCCACACUGGGACUGAGACACGGCCCAGACUCCUACGGGAGGCAGCAGUGGGGAAUAUUAGACAAUGGGCGAAAGACUGACACAGCAAUGCCGCGUGAGUGAUGAAGGCCUUAGGGUUGUAAAGCUCUUUUACCCGGGAUGAUAAUGACAGUACCGGGAGAAUAAGCACCGGCUAACUCCGUG
Molecule: ribosomal RNA, 433 nt
Filed under: uncultured bacterium
Lineage: Bacteria
Description: partial 16S ribosomal RNA
Rfam family: Bacterial small subunit ribosomal RNA
Source: RNAcentral